Mesocricetus auratus (golden hamster) is the source of this 104-nucleotide small nuclear RNA. NCBI's taxonomy places the organism in Eukaryota, Metazoa, Chordata, Mammalia, Rodentia, Cricetidae. The record is from RefSeq and is a predicted model, not a curated record.
CUGGCUUCUGCAACAUAUAUACUAAAAUUGGAAUGAUAUAGAGAAAUUUAGCAUGACCCCUGCAUAAGAAUGGCAUACAAAUAUGUGAAGUGUUCCAUAUUUUU